Molecule: unclassified non-coding RNA, 387 nt
Filed under: soil metagenome
Description: partial contains 5.8S ribosomal RNA, internal transcribed spacer 2, and large subunit ribosomal RNA
Rfam family: 5.8S ribosomal RNA (bases 1-122)
Source: RNAcentral
GAUGAAGAACGUAGCGAAAUGCGAUACUUGGUGUGAAUUGCAGAAUCCCGUGAACCAUCGAGUCUUUGAACGCAAGUUGCGCCCGAAGCCACUAGGCCGAGGGCACGCCUGCCUGGGCGUCACACGCCGUUGCCCCCCCAUCUACUCCUUCGGGAUUGCGGGGGGGCGGAUGAUGGCCUCCUGUGCGCCUAGCCGCGCGGUUGGCAUAAAUACCAAGUCCUCGGCGACGCACGCCACGACAAUCGGUGGUUGCGAAACCUCGGUUGCCCGUCGUGUGCGUUCGUCGCGCAUCGAGGGCUCGAAAAAAUGCUCGGCUCCGGCUGGGCUUUCAACGCGACCCCAGGUCAGGCGGGGUUACCCGCUGAAUUUAAGCAUAUCAGCGGAGGA